RNAcentral lists this ribosomal RNA (301 nucleotides) under uncultured bacterium. RNAcentral's name for it is "partial 16S ribosomal RNA". It matches the Rfam family "Bacterial small subunit ribosomal RNA", at positions 509 to 808 of the family's 1533-position model. The record is from RNAcentral.
CAGUAGCCACGGUAAUACGAAGGGGGCUAGCGUUGCUCGGAAUUACUGGGCGUAAAGGGAGCGUAGGCGGACAUUUAAGUCAGGGGUGAAACCCCAGAGCUCAACUCUGGAACUGCCUUUGAUACUGGGUGUCUUGAGUGUGAUAGAGGUAUGUGGAACUCCGAGUGUAGAGGUGAAAUUCGUAGAUAUUCGGAAGAACACCAGUGGCGAAGGCGACAUACUGAUCAUUACUGACGCUGAGGCUCGAAAGCGUGGGGAGCAAACAGGAUUAGAUACCCCAGUAGUCCCUGUCUCUUAUACC